Molecule: long non-coding RNA, 464 nt
Organism: Parus major (Great Tit)
Lineage: Eukaryota; Metazoa; Chordata; Aves; Passeriformes; Paridae
Exons: 3
Source: RefSeq, a predicted model, not a curated record
CAGGACAGGAUGGGAGAGAGGCUUUGCUGCACAAACUCCACAAAGCCGAUCCCAGUGCCCCAGCAGGACUCUUGGAAGCAGCAAGCUAGGAUGGCAAGACGUCUUGGCAGGCAAGGGGUACAGGGCUACAGUGCAGUGAAACCCAGAGCAGUGAUGAAGAAGCGGCGGGGGCAGGACAGUGGAGGCCCGGCUCUGGGCACAGCAGGGAGAGCGCCGAGGGUUCCGGGCACUGGAGCAGAUUGGUCCCUUAUUUAGUGAGAUUUUCCAUGAGAUGGGAGAGCAGUUCAGAAGCUGUGGAUCUGCUGCUGCUGCUGCAGAAGACUACUUCACAAGAAGAUAAGCUUUGAGCCUUCAGAGAUUUGUAGCCAUUCAUGUUUAAGAAUUUUAAACAAGAAGAAUGAAGGUAAGUAAUCAGAGUACUGAGUACUCAUCAGGUAAGAUAUUAUUGUUUCAAAAUAAGAAAC